Long non-coding RNA from Apis mellifera (honey bee), 653 nucleotides. RefSeq lists it as uncharacterized. The record is from RefSeq and is a predicted model, not a curated record. NCBI's taxonomy places the organism in Eukaryota, Metazoa, Arthropoda, Insecta, Hymenoptera, Apidae. The transcript is spliced from 3 exons.
AAAAAUUGAACGAGGGAUUGAUAAUUAAAAAUAUUAUAAUAUUUGUCGUCUAUAAUAUUUAAAGUUUAAAGUUUUCACGUAGUCACACACGUGUAAAGUCGUAAUUGUUUACAUACGGAGGAAACAAACGAGUGAUAUAUUGUUCUAUGAAUGUCAACACAUUCGACACAUCGUCGAAUUUACGAAAAUAGACGCUCGUACUCCAUUAUUUACUAGAGCGACGAGGAACGAGGACGAUUUACGAGCAGAUUUGCCGAAAGGUCGAACCGAUCAGUUCACUAACGCUCGUCUCAGUGAUCGGUGGCGAUUAAUUACGCUUAAGAAAACUAAUUUACGGGGGCAGAAAUGGUAUCCGACGACACCCUCGCUGUUUGUCGAGAGCGAACAUUUUCCAUACGGCGUAGAAAAAACCUUGAAUAUUCUUCCAAUCCCUUCCGUCCUGUCUAACAUUAGAUUGUAUCGAGAUUCCUUUUUUGGUUAUCUUAUAUUAGUUUAUCAAAAUUUUAGGAUAAAUAACUACAGUUUCAAGAUAUCAGAGAAUUUUUAUUAUAUAGAAAUUCUAAGGAAGUUUCAACGUUUGCUUCAAACUAAAUUAGGAAAUAUGUGAGUGAAUUUCGUUAGAAUCGUUUUCAAUUUAACAAAUUGGAUAUCAU